Molecule: ribosomal RNA, 823 nt
Filed under: uncultured bacterium
Lineage: Bacteria
Description: bacterial SSU rRNA
Rfam family: Bacterial small subunit ribosomal RNA
Source: RNAcentral
CAUGCAGUCGAACGGUAACAGAGAGUAGCUUGCUACUCUGUUGACGAGUGGAGCACGGGUGAGUAAUAUAUAGAUAAUGUGCCUUUUAGCCUGGGAUAGCCAUUGGAAACGAUGAUUAAUACUGGAUACUCCUUCUAACUCUAAUGUUAGUCGGGAAAGUUUUUCGCUAAAAGAUCGGUCUAUAUCCCAUCAGUUAGUUGGUAAGGUAACGGCUUACCAAGGCAAUGACGGGUAGCGGGUUUGAGAGGAUGAUCCGCCACACUGGUACUGAGACACGGACCAGACUCCUACGGGAGGCAGCAGUGAGGAAUAUUGCACAAUGGGGGAAACCCUGAUGCAGCAACGCCGCGUGGAGGAUGACGCAUUUCGGUGUGUAAACUCCUUUUAUAUGUCAAGAAAAUGACGGUAGCAUAUGAAUAAGCACCGGCUAACUCCGUGCCAGCAGCCGCGGUAAUACGGAGGGUGCAAGCGUUAUUCGGAAUCACUGGGCGUAAAGGACGCGUAGGCGGGUUGGUAAGUCAGAUGUGAAAUCCUACAGCUUAACUGUAGAACUGCAUUUGAAACUACUAACCUAGAGUAUGGGAGGGGGAGAUGGAAUUAGUGGUGUAGGGGUAAAAUCCGUAGAUAUCACUAGGAAUACCGAAAGCGAAGGCGAUCUCCUGGAACAUAACUGACGCUAAGGCGUGAAAGCGUGGGGAGCAAACAGGAUUAGAUACCCUGGUAGUCCACGCCCUAAACGAUGAACACUAGUCGUCGGGAUGCUAGUCAUCUCGGUGAUGCACUUAACAGAUUAAGUGUUCCGCCUGGGGAGUACGGUCGCAGA